CUUAACCCCUAAACCCCUAUCCCUUAAUCUCCAACCUCUAAACCUUAAACUCAAACCAUUAAACCAAGUACCCUUAACCUUUCACCCUUGUCCCCUAAACCCUAUACCGUAAACAUGAACUAUGAACCCUAACUCAUCGAGACCCUUAACCUUAAACCCCAACACUUGAACCACAAACCAUACACAAACCAUAAUCCUUAAACCCUAAACCUUAACUCAUAAAACAUAAACUAUAAACCCUUAACCCGUAACACCUAUACAUUAAACCCCAG
This 272-nucleotide long non-coding RNA is filed under the name Gossypium raimondii (Peruvian cotton). Its description in RNAcentral is "long non-coding RNA (GRAI_LNC006520)". Lineage: Eukaryota; Viridiplantae; Streptophyta; Magnoliopsida; Malvales; Malvaceae. The record is from RNAcentral.